UUUUCCGUACCUUUAGAAGUUCUUUUCUCUCCUUCUGAGAAAGAAAUCUUGUUUUUCAUCCUGAUGAGCAUCCUCAUAGUAGUAUUUUUAUGUGUAUUUCUUUAGAAGAAAUUUUGAGAAGUAGAAUUGCUAAAAUAAAGAAUUGGAUGCACAUCAGGAUGUUCUGAAGAACAGCAGCAACCCUCCGGGAGAUAGUCACUUCAAUGCCAUGAUCAAAGACAAAGAAUCUCCCAUCAGAAGCUGUCAUUUUAUUUACAUUGUGGCCUUAGUAUUUGGAACCAUAAUCCAGUUCUCUGAUGAAAGUGAAUUUGUGGUAGACAUGUCAAAAACAAGCCUUAUUCAUGUUCCCAAAGACCUGCCACCAAAAACCAAAGUCUUAGACUUGUCUCAAAACAACAUAUCUGAGCUUCACCUGUCUGAUAUCAGCUUUCUCUCAGGGCUGAGAAUUCUGAGACUUUCCCAUAAUAGAAUCCAGGGCCUUGAUAUUAGUAUUUUCAAGUUCAACCAUGAUUUGGAAUAUUUGGAUUUAUCUCACAAUCAGUUGCAGAAGAUAUCCUGCCAUCCAAUCACCACGACUCUCAAGCAUUUAGACCUCUCAUUCAAUGACUUCGAUGCCCUGCCCAUCUGUAAGGAAUUUGGCAACUUGACCCAACUGAAUUUCUUAGGAUUAAGUGCUACAAAGUUACAACAAUUAGAUUUACUACCCAUUGCUCACUUGCACCUAAAUUGUAUCCUUCUGGAUUUGGAAGACUAUAAGAAAGAAAAUAAGAAAGAAAGUCUUCAAAUUCUGAAUACAAAGAAACUUCACCUUGUUUUUCACCCAAAUAGCUUUUUCUCUGUCCAAGUGAACAUAUCAGCGAAUAGUUUAGGGUGCUUACAACUGACUAAUAUUAAAUUGAAUGAUUACAAUUGUCAAGUUUUACUUAAAUUUUUAUCAGGACUCACUGGAGGACCAACCUUACUAAAUUUUACCCUCAACCAUAUGGAAACAACUUGGAAAUGUUUGGUUAAAGUUUUUCAGUUCCUUUGGCCCAAACCUGUAGAAUAUCUCAAUAUUUACAAUUUAACAAUAGUUGAACGCAUUGAUGAAGAAGUUUUUACUUAUUAUAAAACAACAUUGAAGGCACUGAAAAUAGAACAUAUUACAAACAAAGUUUUUCUUUUUUCACAGACAGCAUUAUACACAGUGUUUUCUGAGAUGAACAUUCUGAUGUUAACCAUAUCAGACACACGCUUUAUACACAUGCUUUGUCCUCAGGAACCAAGCACAUUUAAGUUUUUGAACUUUACCCAGAAUAGUUUCACAGAUAGUGUCUUUCAAAAUUGUGACACUUUAGCUAGAUUGGAGACACUUAUCUUACAAAAGAAUGAAUUAAAAGACCUUUUCAAAACAAGUCUCAUGACUAAGGAUAUGCUUUCUUUGGAAACACUGGAUGUUAGCUGGAAUUCUUUGGAAUAUGACAGACGUAAUGGAAAUUGCUCUUGGGUUGGGAGUAUAGUGGUAUUAAAUUUAUCUUCAAAUGCACUCACUGACUCUGUUUUCAGAUGUUUACCUCCUCGGAUCAAGGUUCUUGAUCUUCACAAUAACAGAAUAAGGAGCAUCCCUAAAGAUGUCACUGGUCUAGAAACUUUGCAAGAACUCAACCUUGCUUCCAAUUCUUUAGCCCACCUUCCUGGGUGUGGUAUCUUUAGCAGCCUUUCCAUACUGAUCAUUGACUAUAAUUCAAUUUCCAAUCCAUCAGCUGAUUUCUUCCAGAGCUGCCGGAAGAUUAGGUCCCUCAAAGCGGGGAACAAUCCAUUCCAAUGUUCCUGUGAGCUAAGAGACUUUAUCCAAAGCGUAGGCCAAUUAUCAAGUGAUGUGGUAGAGGGCUGGCCUGAGUCUUAUAAGUGUGACUAUCCGGAAAGCUACAAGGAAACCCUUCUAAAGGACUUCCAGGUAUCUGAGCUAUCCUGCAACACAGCUCUGCUGAUCGUCACCAUUGUGGUCCCUGGGCUGGUGCUGGCUGUUGCCGUGACUGUCCUCUGUAUCUACCUGGAUCUGCCCUGGUACCUCAGGAUGGUGUGUCAGUGGACCCAGACCCGGCGCAGGGCCAGGAAUGUACCCUUGGAAGAACUCCAAAGAACUCUCCAGUUCCAUGCUUUUAUUUCAUACAGUGAACAUGACUCUGCCUGGGUGAAGAAUGAAUUAAUACCGAACCUAGAAAAAGAAGAUAUAAGAAUUUGUCUCCAUGAGAGAAAUUUUGUUGCUGGCAAGAGCAUCGUGGAAAAUAUCAUCAACUGCAUUGAGAAAAGUUACAAAUCCAUCUUCGUUUUGUCUCCCAACUUUGUCCAGAGCGAAUGGUGCCAUUAUGAACUCUACUUUGCCCACCACAAUCUCUUCCAUGAAGGAUCUGAUAACUUAAUCCUGAUCUUGCUGGAACCCAUUCCACAGAACACCAUUCCUGAUAGAUAUCACAAGCUAAGAGCUCUCAUGGCACAGAGAACUUAUUUGGAAUGGCCCAAGGAGAAGAGCAAGCAUGGACUCUUUUGGGCUAAUAUUAGAGCUGCUUUUAAUAUUAAAUUAAGACUAGUCACUGAAAAUGAUGAUGUGAAAGGUUAAAAAAAAUAAAACAUCUGAAAUCCAAUUUAAGAAACCAUCAUUCACUUGGAUUCUGAUGGAUACUGCUUUCAAGUUAUUUCUGGAUGCUGCCUCCAUUAUUUCCAUGAAUGCAGGGAAGACUUACUGAAAACCAUGUUUCAGCUGAACUGGAAACCAGGCUGGGGACCGAGCUAGUGCUCAGACUUGCUGAUUACAGUGGGAUUCAGUAGGUGGCGUAGAAGAGCUUCCCCAGUCCGCCCACAAACACCAAACCAGCGAAAUAAAAUGUUUGAGGAAGUAUUUAAUUUUUCUACAGACUGCCAACAGGACAGAGGAACAGGCCAACUUGGGUCUUCAUGAACAGUGAUGAAGGGGGCAUACAUGGCCCUCUUUGAUGUUUGAAGAGGUCAGGAUCACCAAGGCAUCAUUGGGCAUCUCUGUGAAAGGAAAGGAGGACCCCUGUCUAGGGUCCAAGAGCGGGCUCUUGUCUAACACUCACGAAUGAAUUGUCCAAGGAGACACCCGUGCUGACAAAGCAAGAGACUUUAUUGGGAAGGGGCACCUGGGUGGAGAGCAUCAAGGGAUAAUUGUCAUUGGAUUUAGGGACUACCUAGAUUAGGUGUCCCCAACCCCAGGGCCAUGGACUGGUGCUGGUCCAUGACCUUUUAUGACGUGGGAGGCACAGCAGGAGGAUCUGUACUGUAUCCAGAUGCUCUGAAGAAUAGCAACUACCCUUAGGAAUGUCUACUGUUACAAAAUGACUAAAAAAAAUUCUAGCAUCUUCCA
RNA transcript from Bubalus bubalis (water buffalo), 3364 nucleotides. It is a transcript of the gene named toll like receptor 6, with no coding region annotated. The record is from RefSeq and is a predicted model, not a curated record. The transcript has 8 exons. NCBI's taxonomy places the organism in Eukaryota, Metazoa, Chordata, Mammalia, Artiodactyla, Bovidae.